This 509-nucleotide ribosomal RNA is filed under the name Bacillus licheniformis. Its description in RNAcentral is "bacterial SSU rRNA". It matches the Rfam family "Bacterial small subunit ribosomal RNA", at positions 40 to 532 of the family's 1533-position model. The record is from RNAcentral. Lineage: Bacteria; Bacillati; Bacillota; Bacilli; Caryophanales; Bacillaceae.
CUGCGCGUGCUAUCAUGCAGUCGAGCGGACAGAUGGGAGCUUGCUCCCUGAUGUCAGCGGCGGACGGGUGAGUAACACGUGGGUAACCUGCCUGUAAGACUGGGAUAACUCCGGGAAACCGGGGCUAAUACCGGAUGCUUGAUUGAACCGCAUGGUUCAAUUAUAAAAGGUGGCUUUUAGCUACCACUUACAGAUGGACCCGCGGCGCAUUAGCUAGUUGGUGAGGUAACGGYUCACCAAGGCAACGAUGCGUAGCCGACCUGAAAGGGUGAUCGGCCACACUGGGACUGAAACACGGCCCAAACUCCUACGGGAGGCAGCAGUAGGGAAUCUUCCGCAAUGGACGAAAGUCUGACGGACCAACGCCGCGUGAGUGAUGAAGGUUUUCGGAUCGUAAAACUCUGUUGUUAGGGAAAAACAAGUACCGUUCGAAUAGGGCGGUACCUUGACGGUACCUAACCAAAAAGCCACGGCUAACUACGUGCCACCAGCCGCGGUAAUACUUAGGG